This 2902-nucleotide ribosomal RNA is filed under the name Klebsiella pneumoniae. RNAcentral's name for it is "23S ribosomal RNA". It matches the Rfam family "Bacterial large subunit ribosomal RNA". RNAcentral also lists the same sequence under 1 other name. Lineage: Bacteria; Pseudomonadati; Pseudomonadota; Gammaproteobacteria; Enterobacterales; Enterobacteriaceae. The record is from RNAcentral.
GGUUAAGCGACUAAGCGUACACGGUGGAUGCCCUGGCAGUCAGAGGCGAUGAAGGACGUGCUAAUCUGCGAAAAGCGUCGGUAAGGUGAUAUGAACCGUUAUAACCGGCGAUGUCCGAAUGGGGAAACCCAGUGCAAUUCGUUGCACUAUCGUUAACUGAAUACAUAGGUUAACGAGGCGAACCGGGGGAACUGAAACAUCUAAGUACCCCGAGGAAAAGAAAUCAACCGAGAUUCCCCCAGUAGCGGCGAGCGAACGGGGAGCAGCCCAGAGUCUGAAUCAGCUUGUGUGUUAGUGGAACGGUCUGGAAAGUCCGACGGUACAGGGUGAUAGUCCCGUACACCAAAAUGCACAGGCUGUGAACUCGAAGAGUAGGGCGGGACACGUGGUAUCCUGUCUGAAUAUGGGGGGACCAUCCUCCAAGGCUAAAUACUCCUGACUGACCGAUAGUGAACCAGUACCGUGAGGGAAAGGCGAAAAGAACCCCGGCGAGGGGAGUGAAAAAGAACCUGAAACCGUGUACGUACAAGCAGUGGGAGCACCUUCGGGUGUGACUGCGUACCUUUUGUAUAAUGGGUCAGCGACUUAUAUUCUGUAGCAAGGUUAACCGUAUAGGGGAGCCGCAGGGAAACCGAGUCUUAACUGGGCGUUAAGUUGCAGGGUAUAGACCCGAAACCCGGUGAUCUAGCCAUGGGCAGGUUGAAGGUUGGGUAACACUAACUGGAGGACCGAACCGACUAAUGUUGAAAAAUUAGCGGAUGACUUGUGGCUGGGGGUGAAAGGCCAAUCAAACCGGGAGAUAGCUGGUUCUCCCCGAAAGCUAUUUAGGUAGCGCCUCGUGAACUCAUCUUCGGGGGUAGAGCACUGUUUCGGCUAGGGGGUCAUCCCGACUUACCAACCCGAUGCAAACUACGAAUACCGAAGAAUGUUAUCACGGGAGACACACGGCGGGUGCUAACGUCCGUCGUGAAGAGGGAAACAACCCAGACCGCCAGCUAAGGUCCCAAAGUCAUGGUUAAGUGGGAAACGAUGUGGGAAGGCACAGACAGCCAGGAUGUUGGCUUAGAAGCAGCCAUCAUUUAAAGAAAGCGUAAUAGCUCACUGGUCGAGUCGGCCUGCGCGGAAGAUGUAACGGGGCUAAACCAUGCACCGAAGCUGCGGCAGCGACACUAUGUGUUGUUGGGUAGGGGAGCGUUCUGUAAGCCUGCGAAGGUGUGCUGUGAGGCAUGCUGGAGGUAUCAGAAGUGCGAAUGCUGACAUAAGUAACGAUAAAGCGGGUGAAAAGCCCGCUCGCCGGAAGACCAAGGGUUCCUGUCCAACGUUAAUCGGGGCAGGGUGAGUCGACCCCUAAGGCGAGGCCGAAAGGCGUAGUCGAUGGGAAACAGGUUAAUAUUCCUGUACUUGGUGUUACUGCGAAGGGGGGACGGAGAAGGCUAUGUUAGCCGGGCGACGGUUGUCCCGGUUUAAGCAUGUAGGCUGGUUAUCCAGGCAAAUCCGGAUAAUCAAGGCUGAGGUGUGAUGACGAGGCACUACGGUGCUGAAGUAACAAAUGCCCUGCUUCCAGGAAAAGCCUCUAAGCAUCAGGUAACAUCAAAUCGUACCCCAAACCGACACAGGUGGUCAGGUAGAGAAUACCAAGGCGCUUGAGAGAACUCGGGUGAAGGAACUAGGCAAAAUGGUGCCGUAACUUCGGGAGAAGGCACGCUGGUGUGUAGGUGAAGUCCCUGCGGAUGGAGCUGAGACCAGUCGAAGAUACCAGCUGGCUGCAACUGUUUAUUAAAAACACAGCACUGUGCAAACACGAAAGUGGACGUAUACGGUGUGACGCCUGCCCGGUGCCGGAAGGUUAAUUGAUGGGGUUAUCCGUAAGGAGAAGCUCUUGAUCGAAGCCCCGGUAAACGGCGGCCGUAACUAUAACGGUCCUAAGGUAGCGAAAUUCCUUGUCGGGUAAGUUCCGACCUGCACGAAUGGCGUAAUGAUGGCCAGGCUGUCUCCACCCGAGACUCAGUGAAAUUGAACUCGCUGUGAAGAUGCAGUGUACCCGCGGCAAGACGGAAAGACCCCGUGAACCUUUACUAUAGCUUGACACUGAACAUUGAGCCUUGAUGUGUAGGAUAGGUGGGAGGCUUUGAAGCGUGGACGCCAGUCUGCGUGGAGCCAACCUUGAAAUACCACCCUUUAAUGUUUGAUGUUCUAACGUUGGCCCCUUACCGGGGUUGCGGACAGUGUCUGGUGGGUAGUUUGACUGGGGCGGUCUCCUCCCAAAGCGUAACGGAGGAGCACGAAGGUUAGCUAAUCCUGGUCGGACAUCAGGAGGUUAGUGCAAUGGCAUAAGCUAGCUUGACUGCGAGCGUGACGGCGCGAGCAGGUGCGAAAGCAGGUCAUAGUGAUCCGGUGGUUCUGAAUGGAAGGGCCAUCGCUCAACGGAUAAAAGGUACUCCGGGGAUAACAGGCUGAUACCGCCCAAGAGUUCAUAUCGACGGCGGUGUUUGGCACCUCGAUGUCGGCUCAUCACAUCCUGGGGCUGAAGUAGGUCCCAAGGGUAUGGCUGUUCGCCAUUUAAAGUGGUACGCGAGCUGGGUUUAGAACGUCGUGAGACAGUUCGGUCCCUAUCUGCCGUGGGCGCUGGAGAAUUGAGGGGGGCUGCUCCUAGUACGAGAGGACCGGAGUGGACGCAUCACUGGUGUUCGGGUUGUCAUGCCAAUGGCACUGCCCGGUAGCUAAAUGCGGAAGAGAUAAGUGCUGAAAGCAUCUAAGCACGAAACUUGCCCCGAGAUGAGUUCUCCCUGAGACUUUAAGUCUCCUGAAGGAACGUUAAAGACGAUGACGUUGAUAGGCCGGGUGUGUAAGCGCAGCGAUGCGUUGAGCUAACCGGUACUAAUGAACCGUGAGGCUUAACCUU